RNAcentral lists this ribosomal RNA (253 nucleotides) under uncultured bacterium. RNAcentral describes it as "partial 16S ribosomal RNA". It matches the Rfam family "Bacterial small subunit ribosomal RNA", at positions 524 to 776 of the family's 1533-position model. The record is from RNAcentral.
UACGAAGGGGGCUAGCGUUGCUCGGAAUCAUUGGGCGUAAAGGGCGCGUAGGCGGCCUUGUAAGUCAAAGGUGAAAUCCCUCGGCUCAACUGAGGAACUGCCUUUGAAACUGCAAGGCUUGAGGCCGGGAGGGGGUAGCGGAAUUCCCAAUGUAGCGGUGAAAUGCGUAGAUAUUGGGAGGAACACCAGUGGCGAAGGCGGCUACCUGGACCGGUUCUGACGCUGAGGCGCGAAAGCGUGGGUAGCAAACAGG